UGAUGCAAUGUUUAUUUUUAUCUUAUUUUCGAAAGGUUAUCGUGGAGUCAUGUGAUCUCACGUGACGAAAAAAAUCUAAUUUUAGCCAACUGGAGCAAUGAAUGAACUCGGAAAGUGAUGGAUUUUUAAGCCGAGCAGCUAAAAUUGAUGUGGAAAGUAAUAUUCUGCCAAGAAAAUUUUACUGAUUAUAUCUAAAGGUGAUAAAAUAAUGUUAGCAUAUAAAGCACAUAAAAUACAAUUCAAUACAUACAAGGCCAACAGAAUUUUUUUCUGAGAACGAGGUUCCCUCGCCUUGACGAGGGGAGAUGACGCGCGGCUAUAAGCAGUUACUUCCCUUUGCAGGGAUCAAAUUGUGCGUGUUACCUCUAUUUGGAACUAGAUCUAGAUGCGACUCGUCACAGACUUGGAGCGUCACGUGACUGUGCUUUAAAUUAUAGAACGGAACUGCUGUCAGGGUGAUUGAUUUAUUUAUAGAAGACGCCAUCUUGGAAGCGAGUUGGAAGACGCCACUAGUUUAAACUGUGCCUUCCGUCUGAGGACAUUCAAACUUUCACAGUAGAAAUAGUUCAACGCUAUCUAAAUGUAUGUGCUCUCUUUUUACCAGUUACAAAACAUAAACUAUAUUUAGAAAGGGUUCUACAUUUUUAUAAAACAAUGGUAUCAUAAAAGAUACAACUUUUAA
Long non-coding RNA from Physella acuta, 682 nucleotides. RefSeq lists it as uncharacterized. Lineage: Eukaryota; Metazoa; Mollusca; Gastropoda; Physidae. The record is from RefSeq and is a predicted model, not a curated record.